AUGCUCGCCCGACCGAGUCUCCCAUUUUAAGUUUUUAAAUAGCAUGAAGCGAUAUAUAAUUAAACUUGGCUAAGACGUUCCCCUGCCCCCAACGUGUUCCUAUCUCUUCUACCUGGUGGAACGAAACUUUACUUGACUUGCUAGUUUCUCUCUUGUCUUUUAUUUUCCUUACUCUUAAAUAUUGGAUCACAAGGUAGAUUGCCAUGUGUUUGUUUAGUAUCCAUAGCCCAGCUCUGAGUGAUUUGGGCAGGGAAGCCAUGAUUUACAUUCUUUCAUGCCACCACACAAUGAAAUGUCUUACUCAUAAGCAUUCUCCAAGAGUGUCAGUGCCCCGAGAGCCAGGAUUUACCUGUGUGAUCACUGCCCUCUCCCUCACUCUGGGAACGGUGCCUGGCACCAGUCAUACUCAAUGAAUAUUUGUUGAACGAAUAGAACAUCAGAUGAAUAGUGGGUACUCGUAAGCGCUUACUGGUUCGCCCUGAGCCAUCCUUUGUCUCGCUGCAUCCCUUUGACUAACUUGGUGGUACAUUUUCCUUGGUACUCUUUGACAGCGUCCCCUUGGCUCUAACUCUGGGUUCCGUUUUGCUCAGUUCUCUGGCUUUCUGUUCUGAUCCCUCUAUGUGUCCUCCAUUAGAAAUCCCAGGCAUUCUUUGUGGCAGCAUCUAGUACUUUCAUGCCGAUGGCUAUCAAGUAUGUGUCCUCAGCUCUGAACUUGGCUGGAGCCAGGUUCUUACAUCUCCAGCUGACGGUGGGCUGAUGAACGGGAUCAUGGAGUAUGAGUGCUGGAAGGAACCUUGGCAGUCAUGCUCACCUAACUCCACAUGAUUCUUCUCUACUCCUGUCACGAGGCAGCCCACUUCGUCGUCGUCCAGCCCUGGUGAUUGUCCCCCAUGCCGCUUCUUUCCCUUCAUCUGUCGUCUUGUCUAAAUUGUUAGCUUCUGGACAGCAGGGGCCAUAUCUUAUGCAAAUCAAUUGACAUUUGUUUAUAAAAAGUGUAUAUUUGAUAAUAUGAAAAGUUGGAAUGUUUGAAGUUAGGUGAGAGGUGCUGUUCCCUAAAUAGGUUUGGGGGGUCUCCCCUCCGUUCUGGUUUUGGAAUAAGAAAGGCCUGGGUUCAAAUUCCAAGCCUACCAUUUAGCAUCUAUGAACCUUUAGGAAAGUUCCUUCUCUGAGACUUGAUUUCUUCAUCGAUAAGGCAGUGAUACUAGCAGUAACUACCUUGCAGGCUUGGAAUGCGGACUCGUGAGAUACCGUAAAUUCAGGGUUCAGUGCAGGGACCGACAAGUAUUGGGGGCCCCCCAAAAUGGAAGUUGUUAUUACCAGUUGGCUGACAUUAACACUCAGCUUGGGCUCUAGGUCAGCCUCUAAGCAAUAUGUAUGUAGCUCUUGCCCCGUACUUCUCCAACCCCUCCUCGCCUCUGAAUACAAUACUGAAACCCAUAAUCCUUUGUUCUCUGGGUGAAGGUACAAGGAUGGUUUCCCCUUUCAGACAAGUCCAUUAAUUUCUGCUUCUGAAUAUGGAACCAUGUCAGUGCUGACACGGACACUAUGGAAACACAGAGAAGAAGGAAACUAAUCUAUACGUUUAGUUCAGGCACUGUGUGGAGCUACGUCACAGUGCCUGCCCUCAAGAUGCUUGUAGUCUGGCAGGAAGGAAAGGCCAGGAUGCGUGGAGUGAGUAGGAGACGAUGUUGGCUUCUUAUGACAAAAGGCUGCAUUGUGAUGGGCACACCCAGUUGAGUGGCCCAUUAAUAGGGUGGUUAAGAGAUUAGGUUCUGGAGUCACAAAGACCGGCCCUCUAAUCUUGAGUCUGUCACUUUGGGCUUGUGGGACUUGUGCUUGUGUGCUUGUGGGACUCAGUUACUUGACUUCUCUGGACCUCAGUUUCCUCAUCUGGGUCCUCUGGUGAGGAUUAAGUGAGGGCACGCACUGAGGAGUGCUCAGCAUAGCCCAGCAUCGCUCCCUAAGUGCUACUGUUGUUAGUAGGUGCUUUCUGCUUUGGGAGAAAAGAGCUCACCGACGCCUCUGCUAAUCAGAAGGGGUGAGGCUCAGAUAAUUAGAGGGAGGGGAGAGUGCUCUGUAGUUGGGAAACAAACAACAAAUGACAAAAACUCACAGAACAACAACGGCAUAGAGCCAGGAAAGACUCAGGAAUGUCUAAGGGCAGUGGGAUGUACAUCAGGAUGGGAACAGAGGAGAGUGAUGUGUAUGACACAGUAAGCGGGACCAGCCACAGGACAGUUGGAGUUGGACAGUUGCUUCCUCGUACCCUCCAUUAUGCCUCUCACGGGACCCGGUUCAGCAAAUGCUUAUUAUUUGCUACUGAAAUUCUUGGUCUAAGUAGGUGGGCGUGUGUCUCUUCUGGCUAAUGUACUUCAUAGGCUGAUUACCUUCUUGAGUGCUUCCAUUCCAUUUCCUGGUUCAAAGCCCCAUAAACGUCCCUUUUUCCUAUUCAGGUCUUGGUCAGCAAAUUCCGAGGAAACGUAUCUGUACUAUUUAUCAUCGAGAAGCUAUGAAGCACCUUUCUUCCCAGGCUUUACCCUCCAGACAAGAGCGUCUGCCUCGUUUUGGAGUCACAGAGCCGGACUUCACGGGCUACUGCGUGGCCCGGAGCAAGUUACUCAACCUCCCGUGCUCUAUUUCCUCACGUGUGAACUUGGAGUAAUGUGCCUCUUCGCAACCAGUUCCCCUUCUGGUACCUGCUCUGCAAUGCUGGCCGGACUGUAAGCAGGUCUCGCUCCUGAGAGCACGAUGUUAGACGUCGUCAAUAGAGGGUGCUACCUCAGAAGUAGGGUCUCGUGAGUAAUGGCUUGAAGGGUCCCGGGUUUCUUUUUGGGUGAUAAAAAAUGUUCCGGAUUAAACAGCGAGAUGUGGAUGCACUGGCAGUCACCUAAUCGCACACUUGAACGUGGUUAAAAUGGCGGGUUUUCUGUUGUGUGACUUUUACCUCAAUAAAAAGAAGUAGGUCUCUGUGAAGACAGGACGAAUCUGUGGUAGGAAGGGUUGAGAACAGUCCUUGGAACGUGGUGACUGGUCCGGUCCAGUGACUGUAGUUUUGCUUCGUCGUUUAGCGGUCUGUCGCCGGACCUACUCUUCCUUGGACCCUGGCACCUUCUUCUUGGGUGUCAGAGUCUAGCCGCCUCGGAGCUGUCUGUGUCUCGGGCUGGCUCUCUCUCACUGGCUUCUCAGGCGGUGGAGUGAAUGCCUGCCCUCCCGCUUCUCCCGAAUCUCUCCAGACAGCUGAUGGCGGGGGACGAGGAGUAGCCGAAGAGGCCGCAAUCGCUGCAUAGCUGAGGGGAGUCAAAAGAAAGGAGGUAACGUUAGACUUUGUGUCCCAGGGCUCUGGGCCCCUGAAGCGAAGGUUAAUUUUGCCCGACUAUUCUCCCCAGGUCUCCUCUCUGGUCUGUUGCCCUCCGUGUGGUGACUGUGGAGCCCAAGCGUGCAGUCCCCAGCUCCUUCUGGGGAGAGGAGCUGGACCUCCGGUCGGAGGCUCUGGAACAUUCUGUAGGUUGGCAGAGGCGGCGUAGGCUCACGGGACAGGGAUGCAAGGGAAGGCUUCAGGAACCACAUGGUGGGGUUUGAAGAAAUCCUGAGGGCUGGUUUGGGGGAGAUCUUCCUUUAGGGUAAUCACCGGUGAUGAUGAUGACGAGAGACCGGAGAAAGGUGAGGAGGUGUACACGAAGAACUCCAUUCCUUCAGUUUCCUCCUCUUCCAUCCGGGUAACGGUCCCCACCGUACCACCGGGCCCGGAAGACUGGUGUUUCCGUCGCAUACAGUGUCGUUCCUCCCAGACCCAGGGUUUUUGGGACAACCUAAGUCAGACGUUUUCUGUCCUGAUAUCCCCCUCUUACCCAUGCGCGUGCCUGGUCACCUGUCCUGCCCAACCCCUCCCACUACGGCUCCAUCUUCAGAGGGUGCUGCUUGCCAGGGGACCGUCACAGAGCAGGUGGGGAGCACACGACAGACGGGGGCUGCCUCCCUGCAGGGCUCGCGUGUCCUCUAAUGCUGGGGGCGGGGGACACCAAAAGCACGUGCCUCGUGAUUGGCAACUCUGUCACUCUGUUGCCAUUUUCCAUUGAGCUGACUCACGGAGGCUCAGGAAAGCAGGCUCAGCGGCCGGCCUUCGGGGCUCACACGUCUGACCCCUAUCCCCAUGGGGUAGCCACAGUCGCUGGGUGGCACUGGUUUCAGGGUCCCCGAGCUGUCAGGGUCUCUCUCUGAGGACUCCCCUCAGACACGGUUACCAAACAUGUUUUUCGUGUUUAUUAACCUGCUUCGCUUCUCACGUUUCCCUGGGCACAGCUGCAUUUCUUAUCUGAUGGGCUUCCUGCCAGCCCCUCGAAGCCUGACAGUUACAAAGGGCGGGCGGAUUAGCUGCAAAAGAAUAUUUAUUAGAAAAAAAAUCCCUUUUAUUCUUCUGUCCUUUUUGUGGAAUUAGCCAUAUAUUGCCUGGAUGAGAUAAGAGCAGCCCUUUUGUGAGCGAGGAGCAGAGGUCCGACAUCUGGGUUACUGGCAAUGCCAAGCACAAAUCACAUCAAGGUGAAUCCCGUGCCAAGCUCUGAAGCAGAGGGUUGUAGACACCUGAGCUGUGGACGGGAGACGCCCUGAAGUUUAACCCAUGAGGACCUCCCGCCAUUUCCUCAGCUGACUGCUUUCUCGGAUCCUUUCAAAGAUGCGUUUCCUAGUGAUGGUCAGACAGCAGAAACCCGUCACAGCCAUGAGCCUCAUGUAAGCUUCAUAAGGAGAGCGCUGGGAGUUUCUCUUGUUUACCACCCAUCGAGUCCCUGGCAGAAAGUAGAUACUCAACAAAUAAGAGCCGAAUGAGAGAAUAAAUGGGGUCACCAGGUUGCCAGUGGAAUCCCUCCCACCUUCUAGCGGCCAGACUGCUGUCUCAGGCUGUAUGGAUACUGUUCUGUGUUCUUAUCGACUGAAGGCGAGAACCACAGCUGGGCUGAAGUUCUCCGCGCAGCUCCUGGGACUUUUGAGUUCUCGUGAGGUGAUCACUGGUCUCACUCCUCUUGUUUGAUCUCCCCCGGACUCUCUGCUGAGUUAAGGUCCAUUCCCUACCACGCCCACUGUCUUCUUUCUCGAGAUUCUUAGCUUCUGGUCUUUGUGUGAAACACGCGGCUCUCUCCAAGUGAGGCCCAGAAAGCUACAUGGUGGAGGGAAGGUUGUGGGCCGUUAGCUCCUGAGCUACUGCUCCAGAGCCAGAGUCUCUUAGCAUGGUCCACCUGCCCUCGAUGCAGUUUCACGAUGAGAUCAAGGAGCAGGUCAUCUGGACUGGUUGGGACGGUUUCAGAAGAAGCCUGAAUACUUCCUGAAGCAGUCCACCUCUGCUUUUGCAAGUCCUCCGGAACUUUGUACCUUGAGAGCUGGCUCAGAGGCAGCCGAGGAGCCUGCCUGGAGACUCCCCUUUCUCUAGAGAGCGGGACUACAGCUGGCUGGCUGAGCGCACAGAGCCUCAAGGCCGCUCUACCUGUGUGCCCUGCUCAUGCUCCGCCCCCAGCCACUCCCUCGCCCCUCGGCCGGGCCUGUGCUGAAUCAGCAGCAUCCCCCUAGCUCUCUUGGCAUCGUGCAGCCCGGCUAAGCCAAGUGUGGUUACAAUGAGUCGGUUCAUCUGGAAGCUCGCAUCCUGUACCCUUUUCCAAUGUGAUGUUCCAGCCAACUGGCACCCAAGAGUAAAGAAAAACCCUGGGAACCGAGGCUGCUGAGGACUUACAGCCUUGCACAAGCCAAGGGCAAGGGCAACACUGAGGGGAAGGUCGCCCCGCUGCCAGGCCUUUCUCUCUACUCCGUCUUGGUUCCUGUCUAGCAGCACAUGGCCCUGGCUGGCAGUCAGCGAUCCACUGCUGGUACUUGUUGGUGGCUUGGCUGUCCUCCAUCCAGCCAGGGCAUUUGGACCUUGUUUCUAAUUCUGCUUAUGAGCUCGGGAAGCGAGCCAGUAGUUUCCCUUGGAAAUUGCCUCUAUUGAUGUCAUUUUCCAUCCUAGUCCCCGGGGGAAUCUGUUUCUCUAUUUCCUCCACAUUGACACUACUCUUGCCCUUGGCUCAAAUACAGAAGCCUCAGGUAGCACCAAUGACAUGGGGAGGGGAAGGGAUGGGGGGGCACAUAUAAGAGACGGAGGUCAUGGGGCACUUGGGUGGCUCCGUUGGUUAAGUAUCCGACUCUUGA
Leopardus geoffroyi (Geoffroy's cat) is the source of this 6168-nucleotide long non-coding RNA. RefSeq lists it as uncharacterized. NCBI's taxonomy places the organism in Eukaryota, Metazoa, Chordata, Mammalia, Carnivora, Felidae. The transcript is spliced from 3 exons. The record is from RefSeq and is a predicted model, not a curated record.